GUGGAGCAUGUGGCUUAAUUUGACUCAACGCGGGAAAUCUUACCGGGUCCGGACACACUGAGGAUUGACAGGCAAUAUUAGCACUUAGCUUCGGCGACGUGUUAUGUUAAAUAUGCUAGUCCUUUCAUGAUUAUGUGAUAGGUGGUGCAUGGCCGUUCUUAGUUCGUGGAGUGAUCUGUCUGCUUAAUUGCGUUUCACCAAGGGCCUAUAAUUUUACGUGUGUUGCGGCACUUUGACCCCUCUUUUUUUAAAGAGCGCGUGUCUUGGUUUGCUUAGCUCGCACAAUUAGGUCCUGAAAGCAACGAACGUGACCGCAACCUCUUGUUGCCUUUAUACCAAACGUGCAUAUGUAAUUUUUUAAUUGCUUUGCGCGCAAAAAGGCUUUUUAAACUAGAGGGACCGCUGUUACUUUCUUAAACCAGAGGAAGGUUGCGGCAAUAACAGGUCUGUGAU
This 453-nucleotide ribosomal RNA is filed under the name Bulimina sp. Its description in RNAcentral is "SSU rRNA". It matches the Rfam family "Eukaryotic small subunit ribosomal RNA", at positions 1176 to 1468 of the family's 1831-position model. The record is from RNAcentral. Lineage: Eukaryota; Foraminifera; Rotaliida; Buliminidae.